UUUCCAUCAACCUAAAACAAUGAAGAAUGAGAGAUGAAGUUAGGAGAUUGUGCCCGUGCUCGCCAUAAUCUAAUGAAACAUAAACAAAAUCAGAUCAAUGAAGGAGAAAAAUUAUGGUUUGUGUUUGAGGGAUGAAAGGUUGGGAGAUUAGGGGUCGUGUUUUAGAGCUGGAAGAUUGUGAGACUGAAAGAUUGAGACUAAGGUUUAGCGUUUUUCUUCUUUAUCAUUAGUUUUUUCCUUCUUUUGUUUGUAUUUUACUUUAUUAUUAAUUUAUAGCUUUAGUUUUACUUUAUUUUAUUUUUUUCAAUUUAGUUCUAAUUUAAUUUGAUUUUAUUAAUAUAUAAUUUUGGUUUUAUUUUAUCAAUUAGAUAAAAA
RNAcentral lists this long non-coding RNA (375 nucleotides) under Lathyrus oleraceus (garden pea). Its description in RNAcentral is "Pisum sativum (pea) long non-coding RNA (PSAT_LNC031431)". Lineage: Eukaryota; Viridiplantae; Streptophyta; Magnoliopsida; Fabales; Fabaceae. The record is from RNAcentral.